The sequence is a ribosomal RNA, 437 nucleotides long. It matches the Rfam family "Bacterial small subunit ribosomal RNA", at positions 341 to 792 of the family's 1533-position model.
ACGGGAGGCAGCAGUGGGGAAUAUUGGGCAAUGGGCGAAAGCCUGACCCAGCGACGCCGCGUGAAGGAAGAAGGUCUUCGGAUUGUAAACUUCUUUUAUAUGGGACGAAGAAAAUGACGGUACCAUAUGAAUAAGCCACGGCUAACUACGUGCCAGCAGCCGCGGUAAUACGUAGGUGGCGAGCGUUAUCCGGAUUUACUGGGUGUAAAGGGUGUGUAGGCGGGACUGCAAGUCAGAUGUGAAAACUAUGGGCUCAACCCAUAGACUGCAUUUGAAACUGUUGUUCUUGAGUGAAGUAGAGGUAAGCGGAAUUCCUAGUGUAGCGGUGAAAUGCGUAGAUAUUAGGAGGAACAUCGGUGGCGAAGGCGGCUUACUGGGCUUUUACUGACGCCGAGGCUCGAAAGCGUGGGGAGCAAACAGGAUUAGAUACCCUGGUA